ACAGAUAUAUUUUCCUCUCUUUUCAUUGCUUGCCAGCUCCAAGGUGGACACAGGCUAAAAGUCAACAUAAUGGUCUACAGCAAGGAGAACUCAAGCUGUUCUGAAUCUUCUAGAAGUCACUUUAUUGUACUCUGAAACAAGCAGAGAAAAAACUUGCCUUCCCAAAGUCAUCCAAGGCCAAGAAGCCUGAGUAAAUUUAAAUAUGAUCUCUACUUUUCCAACUUAUUCUUACACCACCAUAGCAGACAAAAUCGACAUAGCCUAUAUCACCAAGAAAUGCUUCACUUCCAAGGUAAAGUUUUCAUGAAGUCUUUUGCAGGCAUGAGCACAGCAAAAACUCAAGAUUCAAAUGUUCCUAAGUACUUUGUUGACAUCACUUGAAAUAAUCUUCUCAAUUUAUCAUCAUGAACAGAAUACAGAGGCCGAGAAUGUCCUGUGGCAAAGAAGCAGCUUUAUCAGAUGCAAGUUGGACAUCGCCCU
This 480-nucleotide long non-coding RNA is filed under the name Fukomys damarensis (Damara mole-rat). RNAcentral describes it as "lncRNA (ENSFDAG00000023278.1)". The record is from RNAcentral. Lineage: Eukaryota; Metazoa; Chordata; Mammalia; Rodentia; Bathyergidae.